AUGACGAGCUUCCCGUUAUGAUUAUAUUUUGGCCUUCAUCUCUGUUCCACAUCACAAGCUUUUUGCUUAAAAGACAUCCCAAUUUGAAAGUGUAACAAUUUUUUUCAUGAAAGAUUAGAUCCCUUUUUUCGGUUACCGGGUCUCUUGCUUUUCCUUCUUCAAAUCUCUAGCAAUUAUGAUUCAUUGAAAAAUAAAUAAAUCAAGAGCCUUUUCCAUAUCUCUUCCUCCGCACUGAACCUCUCGAUCUGAUAAACCAAAGUAAGGAAAUCUCUGCAAUGUUGGAAGCACUUAGAAGCAGCAUCCAAAAGUUCAACGAGCUAAAAUACACUCGCAUAUCUGAACUAGAAGAACCCAGUGCGCGCAUCUGCUUAUACUCAACCUCGAAAAGUUCAUCGCUCUUGCCCUUUUCCAGAUUUGUAACUUUUUAGCAUCAAUUUCUGAUUUUGUGAUGUUUUUGUCGAUUUCGUUUGAACUUCAUGUUGAUUUUGCUGCGAUUGUGUUGAGUUUUUUUCUUGUUUGUUAUGGAUUUCACGGAAUUUAGUUUUUAUUUUUAUUUUUUUUAUUUGUAAGGUUAUAUGUUGUGAGAUUAGGGUUUUGAGGGAUCAAAUCUUUGGGAGGAUUUGAGCAGAGUUAGGAGUUCAGAUUGGUUUAAAUGUGUCAGGGUAUACAAGUAAUCGAGGAACUAAUUGGAAUAGAUUGAAUUUGGUUAGUUUGUGUGUUUCUUCUGUGAAAUUAGUACGGUAUGAAUGCAAGAACUAUUGUUGUAAUGUGAUUAGUCAUACUUGAUUUUGUUAGUUUCUUUGUUUGAUGUGAAGUCUAUUAAUUCCAUAUUUCUACUGGUUCUACAAAUGUUGGAUUUGUACUCAGCUUGAGCCAAAUGCAAAGGUCUCGUUGUAUUCUCUAAUGCAUCUAGGAAGGGCCUAUGAAAAUUAGGUAGAGCCAGAGCCAAAUAGGGGAAGUAAAUAAUGAUAAUUUGGUCAUAGGUUUCAAGUUAAGGGUAAAUAUUUUGAAAAUAGAAAUUAACAAUUUUCUUUUAUGAUUGUAGUUGUAGUACUAAGUUACUUAUUAAAGUUUGGUGUGAUGGGUACUUCCCGUCUUGCAGAAGAGAAUUUAUUUUUCUGAUUUAGAUUCCGUUAUAGGAGCUCAUGUUGAGUUAUACUGGUUUGCAUUGGAGUGUUUUUGGUUUUGCUGCUGCUCCUGGUUUGUUCAAUUCCGUUUUUCUCUUAUUGGGAGUCAUUUUUCAUUUUUCAUAUUCUGUUUUGCUCUUACUGGUGACUGUUUAAGAAUUUUUUAUUUUAUUUGGGUAUAAGUAUCAUUUGUAAUCUUCUGUGUAAUGUGAUAUAUUGUCUACAAGACACGUGCAUUUUUCUUCCCCGAGCCUGAUCUUAUGUUUACAUUCUAUUGCAGUAUCUUUAUGAGAACAAAAAGUUGAUCCUAGCUAUAUUGGACAAUCAAAACCUUAGGAAGCUCACUGAGUGUGCUUAAUAGGAUUCAAUGGUGGUGUUCCAAUAGCUGAGGAAUUAUUUAUCCAGAACAUAGCUGGCAAGCAUAAUGAUGACAUUUACCAGGGCUCUCUUCCCUGAUGACUUCGAGCAGGCUUGAAAUUCACAGAUCAGAAGGUAGCUUAUUUCAGGAGGAACACCCUAUGUACGAUGAUUAAUUACCAAAUUGUUGUUGGGCAUGAAUCAGAAGGUGGCAUUACUCCCACAACGGGUGACGAAUCACAAGGUUUAUACUCCGAGGACUGCGCCUUAUGCUAGUGAGGAAAUUGACGUGGUUCGUGAGCAAUGGGCGAAGUUUUUUACCAGCAAGUAUUUAUUAUUGACCUGAGCGCGCUUGAUCGAGUUGGUUUAGAUGUUAUAGAACAAUCUUUUAUGUUAAAAUGUAUGCGUACGUUGAAAUUGGAACGUACAUAUAUUUAUUUAAAUGUAUAUGGUAUGUGCACUUUGGUUUUGAGAUAUAUACAAAACACCUGUUAUUGUUUUUA
Molecule: long non-coding RNA, 1987 nt
Organism: Spinacia oleracea (spinach)
Lineage: Eukaryota; Viridiplantae; Streptophyta; Magnoliopsida; Caryophyllales; Amaranthaceae
Exons: 4
Source: RefSeq, a predicted model, not a curated record